GUCGAACGAAGUAGCAAUACUUAGUGGCAGACGGGUGAGUAACAUGUAGGUAUCUGCCCUUUGGCCUGGAAUAACACGAGGAAACUUGUGCUAAUACCGGAUAAGUCUUUACGGAGAAAGCUUUAUGCACCAUUGGAUGAGCCUGCACUUGAUUAGUUUGUUGGUGGGGUAAUGGCCUACCAAGACUGUGAUCAAUAGCUGAUUUGAGAGGAUGAUCAGCCACAUUGGGACUGAGACACGGCCCAAACUCCUACGGGAGGCAGCAGUGGGGAAUCUUGCACAAUGGAGGAAACUCUGAUGCAGCGAUGCCGCGUGAGUGAAGAAGGCCUUUGGGUUGUAAAGCUCUUUCGUCGGGGAAGAAAAUGACUGUACCCGAAUAAGAAGGUCCGGCUAACUUCGUGCCAGCAGCCGCGGUAAUACGAAGGGACCUAGCGUAGUUCGGAAUUACUGGGCUUAAAGAGUUCGUAGGUGGUUGAAAAAGUUAGUGGUGAAAUCCCAGAGCUUAACUCUGGAACUGCCAUUAAAACUUUUCAGCUAGAGUAUGAUAGAGGAAAGCAGAAUUUCUAGUGUAGAGGUGAAAUUCGUAGAUAUUAGAAAGAAUACCAAUUGCGAAGGCAGCUUUCUGGAUCAUUACUGACACUGAGGAACGAAAGCAUGGGUAGCGAAGAGGAUUAGAUACCCUCGUAGUCCAUGCCGUAAACGAUGUGUGUUAGACGUUGGAAAUUUAUUUUCAGUGUCGCAGCGAAAGCGAUAAACACACCGCCUGGGGAGUACGACCGCAAGGUUAAAACUCAAAUGAAUUGACGGGGACCCGCACAAGUAGUGGAGCAUGUGGUUUAAUUCGAAGAUACGCGCAGAACCUUACCAACACUUGACAUGUUCGUCGCGACUCUAAGAGAUUAGAGUUUUCGGUUCGGCCGGACGAAACACAGGUGCUGCAUGGCUGUCGUCAGCUCGUGUCGUGAGAUGUUGGGUUAAGUCCCGCAACGAGCGCAACCCUCACUUUUAGUUGCCAUCAUUAAGUUGGGCACUCUGAAAGAACUGCCAGUGAUAAGCUGGAGGAAGGUGGGGAUGACGUCAAGUCCUCAUGGCCCUUACGUGUUGGGCUACACACGUGCUACAAUGGUAUCUACAACAGGAAGCAAGACUGCGAAGUUAAGCAAAUCCCUAAAAGAUACCUCAGUUCGGAUUGCACUCUGCAACUCGAGUGCAUGAAGCUGGAAUUACUAGUAAUCGUGGAUCAGCGUGCCACGGUGAAUGCGUUCCCGGGUCUUGUACACACCGCCCGUCACACCAUGGGAGUUGGUUCUACCUUAAGGCAAGGCUUAAACCCUGACCAC
RNAcentral lists this ribosomal RNA (1340 nucleotides) under uncultured bacterium. Its description in RNAcentral is "bacterial SSU rRNA". It matches the Rfam family "Bacterial small subunit ribosomal RNA". The record is from RNAcentral.